RNAcentral lists this ribosomal RNA (438 nucleotides) under Insulivitrina lamarckii. Its description in RNAcentral is "partial large subunit ribosomal RNA". It matches the Rfam family "Bacterial large subunit ribosomal RNA", at positions 1832 to 2601 of the family's 2925-position model. The record is from RNAcentral. Lineage: Eukaryota; Metazoa; Mollusca; Gastropoda; Stylommatophora; Vitrinidae.
AGCAUUAUGAAGAUAUAUAAAGUGAGACCUGCCCAGUGAUUAUUUCAACGGCCGCAGUACCUUGACUGUGCUAAGGUAGCAUAAUAAUUUGACUUUUAAUUGAAGCCUUGUAUGAAAGGAUUAAUGGAUAGUCUCUGUCUCUAAAUAAUUUAUUUAAAGUUACUUUAAAAGGUGAAAAUACCUUUAAUUUUUUUAUUAGACGAGAAGACCCUAGGAGUUUAUUUAUAUAAAUAUUAAUAUUUUGUUGGGGCGACAUUACAGCAGCAUUAUAACCUGUAGAAGUUUUAAAAACUUAACGAAAAAUUUUAAUUAAGAUUAAACUACCCUAGGGAUAACAGCAUAAUUUUAUUUUAAAGUUUGUGACCUCGAUGUUGGACUAGGAAUUUUUAAUAUUAACAGUAUUAAAAUAAUGUUCUGUUCGAACAGUAUUUCCUACAU